UAAGGUAAAAAUAAAUUGUCCCAGAAAUGAAAUCUUUGCUAGUUUUUCUUCAUAGCAAAAGCACUUUUCACCACAAAGGGACCAUUCAGAGAAACAGUGACACGUAAAUAGAAGUAAGAAUGAGCCAACCGGAACAACUAGGUAUUGGGACAAUUAUUGUAGUCAGUCAAACAGAAAGCUGAAACAAAUGGAAACUCAGGAUUAAGUCUGACCAAUUUGACACAAGCAUCUCAAGAGCAUUGCCUGCUAGAAAAUAAUUGCUGNUUUCAUUNNNNNNNNNNNNNNNNNAUUUCAUUUCUUUCAUCCAUAACACAGUACAAUGCAUGCCAUCGUUAUCAAUACUUUCAAACAUACCUCACAAUGGCCAUCUACAAAAACCAAAUGUGGCCGAC
Molecule: long non-coding RNA, 392 nt
Filed under: Nicotiana tabacum (common tobacco)
Lineage: Eukaryota; Viridiplantae; Streptophyta; Magnoliopsida; Solanales; Solanaceae
Description: long non-coding RNA (NTAB_LNC000844)
Source: RNAcentral